AUUUCUUACUGCUCUUUGGAGCAGCUUGUCUUCACUGGGCAAUACAACUGACGGCUUCAUGCAAACAGUCUAGAAAGUGGUAGAUCAGUUCAUUAACCCAUUUACAAACCUAAUACAUUACACAGGGAACUGAACAAAACUUGGCAGCUCUGCCUAUAUCCCCUUUGCACCUGAGGAACUGCUGAGUGACAAAGUAACCUUCACUCUGCCCUUAGCAGGAUACAGAGGGCCCUCACCAGAAUCUGCAGCACAAGCCUUGCUUGGGUUAAAAGAUUCAUCGCCCUUCCUGACUCUGCUUCACCCCAGUGUUUGAGAGCAGUGGUGGGGGACAGCGAGGGAAAAAGGAAGACAUUAAUACACAACGAGAAGCUGAAAGCAAAAGGCCAGCCCGUGCUGCAUGUUCCCACUUCUCGGCAACUUGCAGAUGGUGGAGCUGAACAUGGCAUAUCUUUGUCCAUCCUGGAGAUGCAGGCAUUGAAUAGUCCUUCUGGAUAUGCAGUGUCACUGGAAAUUAAGAUGGGAGAACCUUUCACGAAAAGUAUCAAAAACAGCCACAGCAGAAGAAAAAAAAUUUAA
This 576-nucleotide long non-coding RNA is filed under the name Serinus canaria (Common canary). Its description in RNAcentral is "lncRNA (ENSSCAG00000013860.1)". Lineage: Eukaryota; Metazoa; Chordata; Aves; Passeriformes; Fringillidae. The record is from RNAcentral.